Molecule: transfer RNA, 29 nt
Filed under: Filchnerella kukunoris
Lineage: Eukaryota; Metazoa; Arthropoda; Insecta; Orthoptera; Pamphagidae
Description: partial tRNA-Tyr
Source: RNAcentral
CUAUUUAUGGGUGUUGAUCCCUCUUACCA